GUUAUGGCUUACCAAGGCGACGACGGGUAGCCGGCCUGAGAGGGUGUCCGGCCACACUGGGACUGAGAUACGGCCCAGACUCCUACGGGAGGCAGCAGUGGGGAAUAUUGCACAAUGGGCGCAAGCCUGAUGCAGCGACGCCGCGUGAGGGAUGAAGGCCUUCGGGUUGUAAACCUCUUUCAGCAGGGACGAAGCGCAAGUGACGGUAUGUACAGAAGAAGCAUCGGCUAACUACGUGCCAGCAGCCGCGGUAAUACGUAGGGUGCGAGCGUUGUCCGGAAUUACUGGGCGUAAAGAGUUCGUAGGCGGUCUGUCGCGUCGUUUGUGAAAACCCGGGGCUCAACUUCGGGCUUGCAGGCGAUACGGGCAGACUUGAGUGUUUCAGGGGAGACUGGAAUUCCUGGUGUAGCGGUGAAAUGCGCAGAUAUCAGGAGGAACACCGGUGGCGAAGGCGGGUCUCUGGGAAACAACUGACGCUGAGGAACGAAAGCGUGGGUAGCAAACAGGAUUAGAUACCCUGGUAGUCCACGCCGUAAACGGUGGGCGCUAGGU
Molecule: ribosomal RNA, 552 nt
Filed under: uncultured Actinomycetes bacterium
Lineage: Bacteria; Bacillati; Actinomycetota; Actinomycetes
Description: bacterial SSU rRNA
Rfam family: Bacterial small subunit ribosomal RNA
Source: RNAcentral